GGCACGGUGGCUCAGUGGUUAGAGCGCCCGCCUCUUGAACGGGAGGUCGUGAGUUCGAACCCCGGCCGAGUCA
Non-coding RNA from Strongylocentrotus purpuratus (purple sea urchin), 73 nucleotides. NCBI's taxonomy places the organism in Eukaryota, Metazoa, Echinodermata, Echinoidea, Camarodonta, Strongylocentrotidae. The record is from Rfam.